GCCCGAAUGGCGGAAUUGGUAGACGCACUAGCUUCAGGUGCUAGCGACCCUCGUGGUUAUGGAAGUUCAAGUCUUCUUUCGGGUACCA
RNAcentral lists this transfer RNA (88 nucleotides) under Rickettsiales endosymbiont of Peranema trichophorum. RNAcentral describes it as "tRNA-Leu". It matches the Rfam family "tRNA". Rfam says of the family: Transfer RNA (tRNA) molecules are approximately 80 nucleotides in length. Lineage: Bacteria; Pseudomonadati; Pseudomonadota; Alphaproteobacteria; Rickettsiales. The record is from RNAcentral.